UAGUUCCUCCUGUCCGGUGUCCCAAUCUUCACUUCUUCCUACCUACCCUUACCAGUAAACCUAACAAUUUUCAUCCCCUUGCAAAACUCCUCUACUUUUCAACCGAACUUCUUCCCUAACUGGGAACGCUGAUAUUUUCUCAAAACUUUACCUCUUCCAACUUCUUCAACUACACUGUGCCGGCGCGCGGUCAGAAAUUUCGAAACGCUGAAGGUCACGAAGUCCAAGUCCGCCGGUGGCAGUGUACCUAGCUCUGGGACAUCCUUGCACUGAUUCUGUGCACAACCUCCACACGAAGCGCGCAGAAAGUGAAAAGUGCUCAGCACAAAUCAUUGUUAUCUAAAAUGGACCACCGGUACUUCACCAUACUGUUAAUCACAGUAGUGCUGACGGCACGUGAAUGCACGGCUCAAGGUUUAACGUCAGAGUCGACAAUGAGAAUGGCACCUGAACUUGAAAAUUUUGCUGAAGGAGCGCUAAAAUUUAGGGUGUUUAUUCGACCGGAGUACAACAUAAUGGCUCUGGAUUUUCCGUAUGUGUCGACGACCG
Molecule: long non-coding RNA, 549 nt
Organism: Sycon ciliatum
Lineage: Eukaryota; Metazoa; Porifera; Calcarea; Leucosolenida; Sycettidae
Exons: 5
Source: RefSeq, a predicted model, not a curated record